Nelumbo nucifera (sacred lotus) is the source of this 2224-nucleotide non-coding RNA. NCBI's taxonomy places the organism in Eukaryota, Viridiplantae, Streptophyta, Magnoliopsida, Proteales, Nelumbonaceae. The record is from RefSeq and is a predicted model, not a curated record.
AGCCACCUAAUCACCACCUCUGAGUCACCUUCAAGGACCAAACAUCUGAUGUUCAAAUCUCUUGCUCUUUGGAUACCUUCCAGGGCUGCAAGAAUCUUAGCCCUAAGAGAGUCUCCUUCUCCAAUUGGGCCUGAGAGCAUGGCAGUGAUAACCCCAUCCUCAUUCUUGAACACUCAAUCCCAGAAGGCCCUGGAUUCCUUAAGCAACUACCAUCAAAAUUCAGUUUUAUGAACCUAGAGGGAGGAGGGGACCAAGAAGGACUACGAGUCCUCUUACAUAGGGCAGAGGAAGCUAUCUCUUUCCAAUAUCUUACCAAAUCAGCCACAGAAUAACCUGAGAAUAGCUCCAUAGUUUUCAGCCAGUGGGUACCCUUAAAAGUAUUAGAUCUAAUAAGUUUUCUAGGGUUCUUUCCUUGUCUGAAAAUAUUUGUGAGUUUCUUUCUUCCCAUAGGGACCAACACACUGCUGCCCUAAUGCUUCUCUACAUAAUCUUCCCUCUCUUCUUCGGCCAUCUGAAAAAUGAAGAAGAGAACAAGCUUUGGACGCUCCCCGGGGGAAUCCAAAUACACCGAAAGAGGGAAAAAGCCCACUCCCAUACUGUUUUAGCGACCGAACAAGUAACCAUAGGGUGGUAAUCAGUUUCUCCAUCAGCUUUACAGAGAGUACACCUAUUAGGAAGUAAACAAGAAUUGGGUCUCUUUUUCUAAAGUAGGUCAUUUGUGUUAAUUCUUUCCAGGAAAGUUUCCCAACAAAAACUACCAACCCGAGGAGAACAUUGAGGAGGAGAUUGGCAAAGGAAUUUAAAGAAAGAGAAACAAGAAAAGACCCUUUGGAAAGUAGAGACCAAACCCUUUUGUCUAGUUUUGAGGGAUCCACACAAACCUUACUAAGGGUACUCAACAAAUUGGGCAAGGAACCAAUCUCCUCAUCCCUUAACCCUCUAUGGAAACCAAAAUCCCGAGUUGGGUCCAAAGGAUUUACCAAGGUGGAGAUAAAAUUGGACACGACCUCAUUUUUAUACAAAAAAGAUGGAGUAUAGGGAGGAAAAAGGGUCCUUUAAAGCACGAUCCCCAAUCCAAUACCCUCCCAAAGCAGAACAAAAUUCCUAGAACACACAUCAUACUUGACACACCUGAGAAACUGGGGAAGAAUAUUGUGAAUUACCUUCCAUGGUGUUACCAACAUGACCCGAUGAGAAACACCGACAUCCCAACCACUCUCUAAACAACCAUGAAUACUUGCCACCACUUCACUCCACAAACUUCCUCUUUCCAAAAGCCACCUCCACAACCAUUUUCCUAAUAAUGCUGCAUUCUUUUAUACCGUAUUUCCUAUUUCUGAACCCCCUUUUUAUUUUUGCACACAAUCUCCCACUUAAUUAGAUGGUCCUUCUUGCUUUCCCCUAGCUCCAAAGAAAAUCUCUCAUAAGUUUCUCUAAUUUCUUGGAUUCUUUAGGUGGGAUCCUGAAGACAAAGGGAAAGUAGGUUGGCAAAUUGGCAAGAGUAGCCCUAAUCAAUGUGGUACACCCUCCCAAGGAGAUAUAGUUCUUUUGGAAGGCCGGUCUCCCAUUCACUUGAGAUGGCGGUGGGAGAUAUGUUGGGUUCUGCAAGGCUGCAGGUGGAAGAAGAAGACUCCGGUUUGGUGGUUCAAGGAGGGACAAAUGAUUGUGAGAAGGGGUUGGGCGCUAGCCAACUCAACGGUUGGGGAAGAAAAGGGGAGGGUAGGUGGAAGGAAGAGAAAGUGGUUUAUUGAUUGUGGAGGGGGUGAUAAGCAGGAGAGAAUUUAUAAUAGGAGACUAGUGGGUAUUGCUAUGGCUGCUGAAGAUGAGAGAGGGAUUGAGGUAGGAGAUUGGGAGAAGGGUCUAGAGGAAAAGAGUUGGGGCAGGAAGGAGGAGAAGAGGGGGAGUAAGGUAAAAGAAGAAACAAGUAUAUUCCGAAAUGGAGAGGUGGAAAUAAGCAAGUUGGUUGAGAGAGAGGUGAAAGUGGGGAAAUCCCUGGGCCUGUUCUAUUGGGGAGGGGAAGAUUUUGCGAGGAAAACUUUUGAGCAAGUUAGAAAGGAAGAGAAAAACAAAAAAAAAAAAGAGGAAACAAUUGAGAAGAAUAGAGGUUGGGUUGAAGAAGGGGGUGAGGACAUGUGAGGAGUCGAAGCCUAAACUUGAAAAAGAACUAGGAAGAGGGGGUAAGGAUGAGGGUGAGGAUGGAUCAAAAAUAGCAGGGAAGGAAGAA